GACGAACGCUGGCGGCGUGCUUAACACAUGCAAGUCGAACGGAAAGGCCCUGCUUUUGUGGGGUGCUCGAGUGGCGAACGGGUGAGUAACACGUGAGUAACCUGCCCUUGACUUUGGGAUAACUUCAGGCAACUGGGGCUAAUACCGGAUAGGAGCUCCUGCUGCAUGGUGGGGGUUGGAAAGUUUCGGCGGUGGGGGAUGGACUCGCGGCUUAUCAGCUGGUUGGUGGGGUAGUGGCUUACCAAGGCUUUGACGGGUAGCCGGCCUGGGAGGGUGACCGGCCACAUUGGGACUGCGAGACGGCCCAGACUCCUACGGGAGGCAGCAGUGGGGAAUAUUGCACAAUGGGCGGAAGCCUGAUGCAGAAACGCCGCGUGCGGGAUGCCGGCUUUCGGGUUGUAAACCGCUUUCGCCUGUGACGAAGCGUGAGUGACGGUAAUGGGUAAAGAAGCACCGGCUAACUACGUG
RNAcentral lists this ribosomal RNA (468 nucleotides) under uncultured bacterium. RNAcentral describes it as "partial 16S ribosomal RNA". It matches the Rfam family "Bacterial small subunit ribosomal RNA", at positions 28 to 507 of the family's 1533-position model. The record is from RNAcentral.